RNAcentral lists this ribosomal RNA (466 nucleotides) under uncultured Acidobacteriota bacterium. Its description in RNAcentral is "bacterial SSU rRNA". It matches the Rfam family "Bacterial small subunit ribosomal RNA", at positions 224 to 704 of the family's 1533-position model. The record is from RNAcentral. Lineage: Bacteria; Pseudomonadati; Acidobacteriota.
GAGGGGUCCGCGCCUGAUUAGCUAGUUGGCGAGGUAAUGGCUCACCAAGGCUUCGAUCAGUAGCCGUCCUGAGAGGGAGCACGGCCACACUGGAACUGAGACACGGUCCAGACUCCUACGGGAGGCAGCAGUGGGGAAUUUUUGGCAAUGGGCGCAAGCCUGACCAAGCAACGCCGCGUGGGUGAUGAAGUAUCUCGGUACGUAAAACCCUUUUGGCAGAGACGAACCCAAUGACGGUACCUGCAGAAGAAGCCCCGGCUAACUCCGUGUCAGCAGCCGCGGUAAUACGGGGGGGGCAAGCGUUGUUCGGAAUUACUGGGCGUAAAGGGCGCGUAGGCGGUUGGACAAGUCAGCUGUGAAAACCUCGGGCUUAACUCGAGGCCUGCAGUUGAAACUGUCUGGCUAGAGUGUGGGAGAGGAGGGUGGAAUUCCCGGUGUAGCGGUGAAAUGCGUAGAUAUCGGGAGG